Pogona vitticeps (central bearded dragon) is the source of this 1552-nucleotide non-coding RNA. NCBI's taxonomy places the organism in Eukaryota, Metazoa, Chordata, Lepidosauria, Squamata, Agamidae. The record is from RefSeq and is a predicted model, not a curated record.
GUUGUGCUGAUAUACUGGUUCGAUGGCAUCUUUGAGAAGUACAUUUUUUAUUUCUUCUUCUAGGGUUUGCGACGGUGGAGUAAUGAUGUGUGUUGGUGGAGGAAGUUGGAGGAAAUGGACGUAGUAGCCAUUCUGGAUGAUGGAAAGUACCCAGACAUCUGUGGUGAUGGAUUCCCAGACAGGGUCUACUGGGAGUUGAAGGCCGUGCAUCGAUGGAGGGACCAAGCGUGUGUCGACUGACCAGGGUGGAUAUCAAGAAUCAUCAAUAUCAGAGCCUGUAAUCUUGAUGAUGUCAAAACAGAGAAAAUCACAAAAGAUACACAACAUACUGGUCACGGAACCUCUGGGCAAAACCAGGACCAGCUCUGUCAACCACUCAAAAGGCCCUGAACAGCCUCUGCAGAAAACACUGAAACCCAAGUGGAGAUACGGCACUUCAACCAUGAGUGGAAGAAGAGUGAGGCCAUUGUGUUGAGGCUAUUGUGAGUUCUGCAACAUCUUCCUGUCCCAGCAACUGUAUGUGAUUUUCCUUCCAUGCAACGAAUGAGAGAGAAUUUAUGCAAAAAUGUGAUGGGACAGAGAGAGAGAGGGAGAGAGAGAGAAACACUGUUCCUCCCCUCAAGUCCAGCAGGGCUUGGGUUCCUCUGCCUUUGAAUCAGAGGCCCAGUCUGGUUGUCUUAGGCUACAACUAAAGGAGAUUUGGGUUAAUAUCCCCACUUCGUUGUGAAGCUCACUAAGGGCCUGCACCAUUCCCCAGGAAUCCCUCAGGAGAAGGUGGAAUUCACACUGAGCAGAACAGCCUCCAGCUUUUUUGACGAUAAAGCAGGAAGGAGGCUGACGGAGGAAAGAUACAAUAUAUAAAAUAAACACAACUUAUUUUUUUUAAAAAAGAAUGAAGUUAAGACUCACUAACUUGGAUGAAACUACCACCUCUGUAUAGGAUAGCAAUCUUGAGGUACUGAAAAAUGUUGUGUUGGAAAAAUAUCAGGGAACCCUUAGGGAAAAAAAAUAAGUGGGGGAUAUUUUUGAAACAUUAGAAAUGUUUUAAAAAGGAUAAUUCCUCAUUCUGCGGAGAAAAAAUGAUGCCAUAUUAGACUGUAAAUUAUGGGUCGCUGAUGAAUAAAAAUUAGAAUCAUUUAGAACUUAGAAUUCUAAGACUCAGAAAUAAAAUGGGGUUGUUUUUAAGGCUGAGAAAUCCAUGCUAUCCCUAAGAUCCUGUAGAUGUACAGUUUUUUUGCCCAAGCAAAUGAAUAUGGCCACUGAUUUGUGACCCGUAUAAGAUUUCAAACCAGUCUCUCUCAAUCUGAGCAACCCUGUAUGGUUUAAACGAUCUUUGUUGAGGAACUGAACAAACACACCUUUGAAUGUAAGAUACUUCACUGGUUGCCUCCGGGGUUCCUGCCUUUCCCCACCACCUCUUCUAACACUAGUAAACAGGUUUUUAUGCAAUUUGUAUUCAUUUUUUGUGAAAACAGCCCCUUAAGUAUGACCAGCCUAAAAAUACUUAUCGUUUUGGAAGAAGACAAAUCUCUCUUAGCGCUUCAGGACAGUA